ACGAGGUAUGGAGAGUUGGUCAUUUGGCGCUCAUACCGGAUAGGAUAUGGGGACGACCCGCUUCAUCCUCAUACCGGACGGGGUAUUGAGGUUUAAUGUCUCUGCGCUCAUACCGGACGGGGUAUGGGGUCGGCUAUGUAAUUAAGAUUAUUAAAGAAAAUGGUUCAUAUAUAGUGGGGACACCCAUAUGGAUCCCUAUGGAUACUAGUAGGCUGGUGAAACGAGAAACGGUUACGAUUUCGUUUAUUGUUAAUAAAUAUGAAUUUAUGAUAUGUUCUAUGUUGCUGG
RNAcentral lists this long non-coding RNA (288 nucleotides) under Carica papaya (papaya). RNAcentral describes it as "long non-coding RNA (CPAP_LNC007323)". The record is from RNAcentral. Lineage: Eukaryota; Viridiplantae; Streptophyta; Magnoliopsida; Brassicales; Caricaceae.